This 536-nucleotide ribosomal RNA is filed under the name uncultured microorganism. Its description in RNAcentral is "bacterial SSU rRNA". It matches the Rfam family "Bacterial small subunit ribosomal RNA", at positions 9 to 527 of the family's 1533-position model. The record is from RNAcentral.
GAGUUUGAUCGUGGCUCAGGAUGAACGCUGGCGGCGUGCCUAAUACAUGCAAGUCGAACGAACAGAUAAGGAGUUUGCUCCUUUGACGUUAGCGGCGGACGGGUGAGUAACACGUGGGUAACCUACCUAUAAGACUGGAAUAACUCCGGGAAACCGGGGCUAAUGCCGGAUAACAUGUUGAACCGCAUGGUUCUACAGUGAAAGACGGUCUUGCUGUCACUUAUAGAUGGACCCGCGCCGUAUUAGCUAGUUGGUGGGGUAACGGCCUACCAAGGCGACGAUACGUAGCCGACCUGAGAGGGUGAUCGGCCACACUGGAACUGAGACACGGUCCAGACUCCUACGGGAGGCAGCAGUAGGGAAUCUUCCGCAAUGGGCGAAAGCCUGACGGAGCAACGCCGCGUGAGUGAUGAAGGUCUUCGGAUCGUAAAGCUCUGUUGUUAGGGAAGAACAAAUGUGUAAGUAACUGUGCAUAUCUUGACGGUACCUAACCAGAAAGCCACGGCUAACUACGUGCCAGCCGCCGCAGUAACACC